AUGUUGGAACCUUUUUUUUAUGGCUAAUUGCAUACAGUUUUCUGUAAAUAUAUAUAUCGAAUAGCUAAUCUAUCGUUACAAAGUUCAAAAGUUCAGUUAUAUAUGCUCAUAUGUGCCGCUUAAUUUGGUUGUUACCGUUAGAAUAUUGUUUAUUUUUUAAUAACAGAUAAAUGAAAUGGUAUUUUUACCUACCCUUAUAAAUAUAUUUCUCCAAAAGCCCCAACCGUUAGAAUAUACAGAAAUAUUCUUUAAAAAAUUUUAUUUAAUAAUAUAAGAGGGGUAACAAGAUUAAUUCAACUCAUUUACUAAUCAAUGUCAAGUAUUUUACUCAUGGUUAACUAUAUUUUUCUAACAAAUCUUAACAGUAGAGGUAUAUUUGAAAACAAUAGGACUUUUAUAGGAAUAAUAAUAAAAAACUGAACUGUAGAAGUAUAUCUGCUAUUUAUUAUAUUUACAGAGAGCUGUAUGCAAUUAAUCUUGUUUUAAGGCUAAAUUAUAGAAAAUCUUCUUACCAAUACCCACUUUUUUACUUUUCUUUUCGUCUUUUAAAAAACCUAUACUUUGACUACUUAAAAAAUACAAAAAUAUUCACUUCCCUCUAUUAUGUUAGGGUUCCGUUUAUAUUAUUUUAUUAUAUAUUUUUUAUAUCCAAAAUACUUUUGAAACUCUCAUUUGAGAAGCUCCUCCUCCGUCCUCACCAACGUCCUCGACCGUGUUGCCUCGCCCUCGCCCACCCCUCUGUCCACGCUCACACACACACCCUCACCCUCCUCCGCUUCCUCGCCCUUGCCCUCACGCAUCUUUCAGUCCACGCCCACCCCGAUCUCCUCCCUUCUAUUGCCAAAAUGGAGGAGCGGUGAGGGUGUAGGAGAGGGAGAGCAGAUAUAGGAAACGGAGUCAGAGUCGGGUUCGAGGGAGGCGUGAAGGACGGAGGAGGAGAGACUAUGGAUCAGCAGAAUUGGAGAGGAAACGAAAAGGGUGAGGUGCAAUUUGGUCAUUUUGUCAUCACAAUUAACACCGUACCAUUAUGUAAAUAUUUUUCAUUUUUUAGGAAUAAAGCGUAGAUUUUUAAAUAAUAUUGAAGAAAAAUAAAAAAUUAAAUUUUUAUGAAAAGUUUUUUUUUUUUUGUUGUUGUUAUAAUUUAGCCUUUUUCUUUUACAGUAGUU
Molecule: long non-coding RNA, 1166 nt
Filed under: Ananas comosus (pineapple)
Lineage: Eukaryota; Viridiplantae; Streptophyta; Magnoliopsida; Poales; Bromeliaceae
Description: long non-coding RNA (ACOM_LNC008498)
Source: RNAcentral